AUCACCUGGGCAUCUUGUUAAAAUGCAGAUCCUGCUUCAGUAGGUCUGGGUUUGGCCUGAGAGUCUGUAUUUUUAACAACGUCCCAGGUGAUGCCGA
This 97-nucleotide microRNA precursor is filed under the name Pteropus alecto (black flying fox). RNAcentral's name for it is "mir-544 microRNA precursor family". It matches the Rfam family "mir-544 microRNA precursor family". The record is from Rfam by way of RNAcentral. Lineage: Eukaryota; Metazoa; Chordata; Mammalia; Chiroptera; Pteropodidae.